Molecule: RNA transcript, 2947 nt
Organism: Acinonyx jubatus (cheetah)
Lineage: Eukaryota; Metazoa; Chordata; Mammalia; Carnivora; Felidae
Gene name: E3 ubiquitin-protein ligase MARCHF11-like
Exons: 4
Source: RefSeq, a predicted model, not a curated record
CGGGGAGAGUGCGAGCAGCGCGGGGAACGGCCUGCGGCAGGCAGCUCCACGCUGCCGCUGUCGUCGUCCAGUCCCUCCUCCCGAGGCCCCCCUCCCGCGUGGCCCGCUCCGCGGAGGCGCAGGUAGGGACGUGCCCCGGCCGGCGAGAGCCCACACACAGCCCUUGCGAGAGAGCAGGCGGACUGCGCGCCCCGCAAUUCUCGGGGAAGGAAGUAAGGAAACUGCUACUCGUGCUCUGCGUGCAUCCCGCGGAGGCUCCUGCGAGGUCCUAGAGCGGGCUGUGUGCUCAAGCCCUCUCCUGGCGACGCCUGCCCUGACAACUUCUAAAUGGCCAGCCCACCCCUGGGGAAAAGCAGAGAGGAAUCCUCUUUGGACUCUUGCACCUCAAAGGAAUGGCUAAGAUCAUCCACGGAGAAUGCCAAGUGAAAAGACCACUGAAAGAAACCAGGGGACAAUAACAUUCAAGGCACAGGCAGACGAAAAGAUGCUUCAGAAGAAAACUGAGGAGAAGCUGCUCUAAAGGAAAGAGAAGACAGAAGAGGUAGGCACCACAGCAAUCACUGAGAAGAAUCCCCAAAACAAGUAGCAGUCAAACGCCAUAUCCAUCACAGGACAAGCAAGUUGUCUGGAAACAAACCCGCAAUAUCUCUGAGCUAUGCCUGUAGUCUGGAAUCUAAGGAAACUGCCCCAAACACAGUCCACACCUGAGGAUAAUGCUCUGAUCCAAGGCCAAGAGAUCAGAGAGGCUGCUUGAACAAGUGGCUCCUCUAUCAAAGGCCCAGAGGUAAGAAGAGUUAGAGGUAAAGAUGAACUCGAAUGUCAGAAGAAAAGGAGGACUGUACAUAGUGGGGAAAUGGAGGAGUAUGUCUGGCAUGCAGAUGAUACACACAGGUGUCUCUUGGUAUUCCCUAGUCCAGUUACAGUAAAUGAAUGAGUGUAGCAACCACAAGCUUAGGAAGGGCAUGACCUUUGCAGACCUCCAGUGAUGAGGGCCUGAGUCAUAGUACUGGGUAACCCACGAAGAGCAGACAUGUAAGCCAAGGGGAGGCUGUAUCUAGAAUGGACAGCACAGGAGGGAGAAAAUGAUUCAGUUGUGGCCCAAAGGCCAACUAAGCAACAAGGGCCAUAGUCUGCCCCACUAUCGUCCUUCCUCCUGCCCACUGGGACCCUGAAGAGGCUGCUCCCCAAAGCGUAUGAAGAAGUGAAUCUGAGCAAAAUAAAAGGUGAGCUGUGGUCCGAGCUGUGCUGCACCACCCAGACUCACCCUGAGGAAUAAGGGACUUACUUCCCUAGAUGCUAGGAGUGACCAAGACACAGCUGUUACCUUUAGUCAUUUCAGGGACCAUCUCAGCUGAAGAGGGCUGCCUUGUACAAGGUCAUGUCCCUUCCCAGGGCAGCCUGUAUCCACUGACUGACCAUCACCGGUGUUGUGUUCCUUCACCUCCAAGUGGGACAGUUCUGAUGGGUCAUCUCUUCUGUAGAGCUCCCCAUCAUUGGCUGAGGUGUCCCUUAAGAGUACAUCACAGAUUGACUUCAGCCUCUGCCCACUCCUGCUUCCUUCCUUCCCUGCUACAGUGUGAUCCCACAGCACUCCCAUUGACCUGUGGCAGCUCAGGAGGCUUUCCGGGAAGCCCAACCUGUAAGAACUAGCAAUGUUUAUGCCUAUAGUUCAGAGUUGUCAUUCUCUAUUAAAUGAGAUGCUACAUAUCAAGUCAUCUGUGCAAUGCCUGAUAUACAGUAGGCAUUUAAUACAUACUCGUGAGAGAUGGGAUCUUGAAGAACAAGACAGAUAAGUUUAUAUAAACCCCAGGAUUAUAUGUGUCUUCUAUAUGCCAGGUGGUGACAGAUAUACAGUUCCUGAGACACAGAACAUAGGAAGCACAUAUUUUUUAAAAAUCUUUUUUUGAUAUUUAUUUUUGAGAAAGAGAGAGACAGAGAGAGAUGGAGACACAAAAUCUGAAGCCAGCUCCAGGCUCUGAGCUGUCAGCACGGAGCCCAACACAGAGUUUGAAUUCACGAGCCUCAAGAUCAUGACCUGAGCCGAAGUCAGACGCUUAACCCACAGAACCACCCAUGAGCCCCAGGAAGCAUGUAUAUUAAAUUUAUUCUCAGAUCUGCUGGAAAAUAGUAGCCAACACAAAAUUCAGUACCACAAUCCCAUUAUUUGCUAUAUUGAUUGUAGCCCUAUUUUGUACUGAUCAUAAAGAUAUAAAAAUUUCAGAAUUCUAACUGCAUUAAAAAAAAAAGGAAUACUAAAUACAUCCUAAAAUUCUGGUAUGUUAAUUUUUAUUAUAAAACACCAGCAGGGGGCGCCUGGGUGGCUCAGUUGGUUAAGCGGCUGACUUCAGCUCAGAGCAUGAUCUCACAGAUCCUGGAAUGAGUUCCAGCCCCACGUCGGGCUCUGUGCUGACAGCUCAGAGCCUGGAGCCUGCUUCAGGUUCUGUGUCUCCCUCUCUCUCUGCCCCUCCCCUGCUCACACUCUCUUUCACUCUCUCAAAAAUAAACAUUAAAAAAAAAUUAAACAAAACAAAACAAAAACACCGGAGUUCACUAAUUACCAAGAAAGCCUGAAGGUCCCUCACAAAAUUUUGGGAGAUUUUAUAUAUUCAAACAGACAAGAAUGUAAAGUACUUUAAUAACAAAUUAAAUCCCUUUUCAACACUUUGUAUUUAUUAAAUCACAGAAUCUAUCAUAUUUUAAGUUAUAUUCAUGGCAAAGGAUCACAUCAAAACAAGAUAAUUGGAUUCCUUUCAUGAGCACAUGAAAGUUUAAUUAAAAAAUUAAACUUUUUGCAAAAUUCAAUCAUACUCAAAUAUUAAGCACAUACAUUUUAAAGUUUCCUAUGUGAUGUACCCACUUAGCAUCAGCUAAAUUUUCUAAUAUAAGAGAUGAUAUAUGUGCUAAUAUUUGAAUCAACGGCCCAACUUAGCACAAUCUCAUGUUCGAA